Molecule: small RNA, 2917 nt
Filed under: Pongo abelii (Sumatran orangutan)
Lineage: Eukaryota; Metazoa; Chordata; Mammalia; Primates; Hominidae
Description: retained intron
Source: RNAcentral
AAGCCACUCCUCUGCACCGCCUCCGUGUCUGCUGUGGGUGGGCAGUAAAUAAGGCCCCCCACACUAGGUGCCAAGCAGGCCCAGGGCACGACCUCCACAGCCACAUGUUAGAGAUGUUCUGUCUUCAUGUGAGUAAGAAAGGAAUACAAAAUGCUAUCACUGGAGCGUGUGAAAGACACAGCGUGGCUGAGUGGAUGCUUUCCUAGGAAAAAUCUUCAUGUUCCACGUCACUUUUUUUGUUAAGGAAAAACACACGUGUUGAGUGCCUGUUAGAACUCAUCCCUGUGCUAUGUUUAAAGCCUGUUGGGAGCAUCUGAUCCCAGGUGAUGGGCGCAUUCUAGGCCCUGGGCUUUGGCAGUCGAGCUGGUGACAUGCAGCACACUUGCAAAACCGACCAUAAUGCCACCUGGUGAUUUCACGUGGGGGAUAAUGUACACCAAAGAACCGACUCAAAAGAGAACCAAAAAUAGCGUGUACCAAGAUGCCCAUGGCAGUCCUGGUGACAGUGGCAGAGGCUGACUUGAGCUUGAGGACCUUGAUUUCAAGGACAGAAACUACAGAAGCAGGUACACCUUUUGUUGUACAUGGAACCAGCAGGCCACCCUAGGCUUGUCCCACAUGCUUCUGGGAGCGGCAUGUUGGUGCAGAGCCCUGGCCUCAGACCGCAUGUGGCCCCCAGGAAGCAGGGCCUCCAUUCCAGGGUGAGAUGCCUGAGCCCAGAGAGGUGUGCCCUUCACUGCCACCACACAGCCAGCCAGAGCAGCUCAGAACUGGGGUGUUGCCGACCUGCUUGAGGUGCCCCCACCAGCCACACUGCCUUUGGGGAACAGCUCCAGGAGAGCUGGUCGGCUGCUUCUCUCCCCAGGUGCAUGUUCCCACGCAGGGAGUAUAGUGCGCGCCAGCUCCGGCAAAUGUCCUCUCCGAAACGCUGCGCUGAGCACAGGAGCUGUGCACAGACAACCCCUCAGUAACAGGCACGGCAGGCACGGUUGGAAGGGGUCAUUAGGGUUCCCCUGAGUUCUAGCAGGAACUAUAGAAUUCAUUAGUCCUCAGACUGGUCUAUAGCCCGCAUCAUUGUUCACUUCAAAACCAGCAUGUUGAGACUUGUAUUCAUUUGAAAAAAAGGAAUUGAGGGUUUGGCAGCUUUUAUUUUAACCUGACCAAGUGAGGGAAUGCUCAGGCCCUUGCUCUGGUGCCAUAGGGCGGGGCUGGGCGGGCCAGGCAGGAGGCGUGGCAUGGGGGACCUGCCCCCCAGGGCCUGGCCUGGGGCUGGCUAUACAGAAACACAGACUACAUCUCUCAAGGACCCCAGGAGCUUGCAGUCCCAACAGCAGAAUGUUAUUCAUGUUCUUUUUAUUUUUGCGUUUGUCCAGAAGCACUACCACAGGAAGAGCAAGAAGGAAGUGGAAGUGAGGAGAGAGGAGAGGGGAAGGGGACCAGCUCUCCGGACUAUCGGCACUACCUGCGAAUGUGGGCCAAGGAGAAAGAGGCUCAGAAGGAGACGAUUAAGGAUCUUCCCAAGAUGAACCAGGAGCAGUUCAUUGAGCUGUGCAAGACGCUUUACAACAUGUUCAGUGAAGACCCCAUGGAGCAGGACCUGUACCACGCCAUCGCCACCGUGGCCAGCCUCCUGCUCCGCAUCGGAGAGGUGGGGAAGAAGUUCUCGGCCCGCACAGGCAGGAAGCCCAGGGACUGUGCCACUGAGGAGGACGAGCCGCCAGCACCCGAACCGCAUCAGGAUGCAGCCAGGGAGCUUCAGCCCCCAGCUGCAGGAGACCCCCAAGCCAAAGCAGGCGGAGACACACACCUCGGGAAAGCCCCACAGGAGACCCAGGUGGUCGUGGAGGGAGGCAGUGGCGAGGGACAGGGCUCACCCUCCCAGCUGCUGUCUGACGAUGAAACCAAAGACGACAUGUCCAUGUCCUCAUACUCGGUGGUCAGCACGGGCUCCCUGCAGUGUGAAGACCUUGCAGACGACACGGUGCUGGUGGGCGGGGAGGCCUGCAGCCCCACAGCCCGCAUCGGCGGCACCGUCGACACCGACUGGUGCAUCUCCUUCGAGCAGAUCCUGGCCUCCAUCCUGACGGAGUCCGUGCUGGUGAACUUCUUUGAGAAAAGAAUGGACGUUGGACUCAAGAUCAAGGACCAAAAGAAAGUGGAGAGACAGUUCAGCACCGCCAGUGACCAUGAGCAGCCUGGAGUUUCCGGCUGAUGCCUGCAGCUGUGAGGCCUGACCCGAGGUGUCAUCAGUGGGGCUGGCCUCAUCUCCUCCUGCCUUUUCUCCCUUAUCAGUUUCUCUUUAAAGGUGUGCCCCUCCUGCUCUCCCAGGAGCAGUGAGUUGUGAAUGGAAAGAAGGCUGGUGCAGACCCAGCUGCCUUAGACAGAUUCCCUGGGCCUGCAUCUCCUGGCGCCGGCUGCUUCUGGGCCCAGGAAGAGGCUGUGGCUCCCACCUUCCUUAUACCCGGUGGGAGCCCGCCUAGCACCAGCUGCACCUGCCUAGCGUUAGAGGCUCUCAGAUCUGCCCUUGCUUGCCUCAUACCUCUGUGCCCCGCACUGUGGCCAGGCCAGCUGAGUCCCUCCAUCCGUGGAUGCUUUCCUGCAGCUAUGUGGUACAGGGGUCAUUCCUGCCUCUUGGUACCAGGCUGGGGGGCAUGUGCUUGUUGGGCACCAAAGUGAUUGAACCCUCAGGUGCUCUCCGGGAGCCUGAACCUCCUGACUGAGGAACAUGGGCAGAACAUGUUUAUUGCACAGGGUGGGUGCUGCGCACAGGUGUGGCCGUACACAUGCUCUCAGCUCAUCAUCCUUUCCAGUAACUUUAAAAGCACAUCCCUCAGGUCCUGAUAUAUGUCCUUGGAUUCAUUUCACUUGGCUAGAAAUUACACUGUGCUCAAUGCCUUAAUAAAUCCCUGAAAGAAAU